CAUUUUUAGUGUACAAAUGUAUA
Molecule: small nuclear RNA, 23 nt
Filed under: Arabidopsis thaliana (thale cress)
Lineage: Eukaryota; Viridiplantae; Streptophyta; Magnoliopsida; Brassicales; Brassicaceae
Description: snRNA_17034
Source: RNAcentral